Molecule: non-coding RNA, 65 nt
Organism: Dipodomys ordii (Ord's kangaroo rat)
Lineage: Eukaryota; Metazoa; Chordata; Mammalia; Rodentia; Heteromyidae
Source: Rfam
GGUGGCUCAGUGGUAGAGUGCUUGCCUAACAUGCAUGAAGCCCUGGGUUCGAUUCCUCAGUACCA